Molecule: ribosomal RNA, 1104 nt
Filed under: Chromobacterium haemolyticum
Lineage: Bacteria; Pseudomonadati; Pseudomonadota; Betaproteobacteria; Neisseriales; Chromobacteriaceae
Description: bacterial SSU rRNA
Rfam family: Bacterial small subunit ribosomal RNA
Source: RNAcentral
GAGAGUGGAGCAGCUUUCCAUGCAGUCGAACGGUAACAGGGUGCUUGCACCGCUGACGAGUGGCGAACGGGUGAGUAAUGCAUCGGAAUGUACCGUGUAAUGGGGGAUAGCUCGGCGAAAGCCGGAUUAAUACCGCAUACGCCCUGAGGGGGAAAGUGGGGGACCGAAAGGCCUCACGUUAUACGAGCAGCCGAUGUCUGAUUAGCUAGUUGGUGGGGUAAAGGCUCACCAAGGCGACGAUCAGUAGCGGGUCUGAGAGGAUGAUCCGCCACACUGGGACUGAGACACGGCCCAGACUCCUACGGGAGGCAGCAGUGGGGAAUUUUGGACAAUGGGCGCAAGCCUGAUCCAGCCAUGCCGCGUGUCUGAAGAAGGCCUUCGGGUUGUAAAGGACUUUUGUCCGGGAGCAAAUCCCAGUGGUUAAUACCUACUGGGGCUGAGAGUACCGGAAGAAUAAGCACCGGCUAACUACGUGCCAGCAGCCGCGGUAAUACGUAGGGUGCAAGCGUUAAUCGGAAUUACUGGGCGUAAAGCGUGCGCAGGCGGUUGUGCAAGUCUGAUGUGAAAGCCCCGGGCUUAACCUGGGAACGGCAUUGGAGACUGCACGACUAGAGUGCGUCAGAGGGGGGUAGAAUUCCGCGUGUAGCAGUGAAAUGCGUAGAGAUGCGGAGGAAUACCGAUGGCGAAGGCAGCCCCCUGGGAUGACACUGACGCUCAUGCACGAAAGCGUGGGGAGCAACAGGAUUAGAUACCCUGGUAGUCCACGCCCUAAACGAUGUCAACUAGCUGUUGGGGGUUUGAAUCCUUGGUAGCGAAGCUAACGCGAGAAGUUGACCGCCUGGGGAGUACGGCCGCAAGGUUAAAACUCAAAGGAGUUGACGGGGACCCGCACAAGCGGUGGGUGAUGUGGAUUAAUUCGAUGCAACGCGAAAACCUUACCUGGUCUUGACAUGUAACGAACGCUGCAGAGAUGUGGCGGUGCCCGAAAGGGAGCGUUAACACAGGUGCUGCAUGGCUGCGUCAGCUCGGGUCGUGAGAUGUUGGGUUAAGUCCCGCAACGAGCGCAACCCUUGCCAUUAGUUGCCAUCAUUAAGGUGGGGCAGU